This 74-nucleotide transfer RNA is filed under the name Clostridiales bacterium GWC2_40_7. RNAcentral describes it as "tRNA-Gln". It matches the Rfam family "tRNA". Rfam says of the family: Transfer RNA (tRNA) molecules are approximately 80 nucleotides in length. The record is from RNAcentral. Lineage: Bacteria; Bacillati; Bacillota; Clostridia; Eubacteriales.
UGCGGGAUAGUGUAACGGCAGCACUACUGACUCUGGCUCAGUCUGUUUGGGUUCAAAUCCUAAUCCCGCAGCCA